RNAcentral lists this ribosomal RNA (253 nucleotides) under uncultured bacterium. Its description in RNAcentral is "partial 16S ribosomal RNA". It matches the Rfam family "Bacterial small subunit ribosomal RNA", at positions 524 to 776 of the family's 1533-position model. The record is from RNAcentral.
UACGGGGGGUGCAAGCGUUGUUCGGAAUUACUGGGCGUAAAGGGCUCGUAGGUGGCCAACUAAGACAGACGUGAAAUCCCUCGGCUUAACCGGGGAACUGCAUCUGAUACUGGAUGGCUUGAGUUUGGGAGAGGGACGCGGAAUUCCAGGUGUAGCGGUGAAAUGCGUAGAUAUCGGGAGGAACACCUGUGGCGAAAGCGGUGCACUGGACCAUAACUGACGCUGAUGCGCGAAAGCUAGGGGAGCAAACAGG